This 467-nucleotide ribosomal RNA is filed under the name uncultured bacterium. Its description in RNAcentral is "partial 16S ribosomal RNA". It matches the Rfam family "Bacterial small subunit ribosomal RNA", at positions 29 to 507 of the family's 1533-position model. The record is from RNAcentral.
ACGCACGCUGGCGGCGUGCUUAACACAUGCAAGUCGCACGGAAAGGCCCUGCUUUUGUGGGGUGCUCGAGUGGCGAACGGGUGAGUAACACGUGAGUAACCUGCCCUUGACUUUGGGAUAACUUCAGGAAACUGAGGCUAAUACCGGAUAGGAGCUCCUGCUGCAUGGUGGGGGUUGGAAAGUUUCGGCGGUUGGGGAUGGACUCGCGGCUUAUCAGCUUGUUGGUGGGGUAGUGGCUUACCAAGGCUUUGACGGGUAGCCGGCCUGAGAGGGUGACCGGCCACAUUGGGACUGAGAUACGGCCCAGACUCCUACGGGAGGCAGCAGUGGGGAAUAUUGCACAAUGGGCGGAAGCCUGAUGCAGCAACGCCGCGUGCGGGAUGACGGCCUUCGGGUUGUAAACCGCUUUCGCCUGUGACGAAGCGUGAGUGACGGUAAUGGGUAAAGAAGCACCGGCUAACUACGUG